Molecule: ribosomal RNA, 250 nt
Filed under: uncultured prokaryote
Description: partial 16S ribosomal RNA
Rfam family: Bacterial small subunit ribosomal RNA
Source: RNAcentral
ACGUAGGUGGCAAGCGUUGUCCGGAUUUAUUGGGCGUAAAGCGCGCGCAGGCGGCUAUGUAAGUCUGGUGUUAAAGCCCGGAGCUCAACUCCGGUUCGCAUCGGAAACUGUGUAGCUUGAGUGCAGAAGAGGAAAGCGGUAUUCCACGUGUAGCGGUGAAAUGCGUAGAGAUGUGGAGGAACACCAGUGGCGAAGGCGGCUUUCUGGUCUGUAACUGACGCUGAGGCGCGAAAGCGUGGGGAGCAAACAG